UUCUGAUUGAGAAGAAUGAAAGCAAUCAAACAUAAAACUUGCAUCUGAGCCAUCCACCAACCUAGAAAAAGUAGAAAGCAACUGGUUGCAGAAUUCUUUGUGCAAUUUUAGGAAACACUUCACUUCAUCAGGAGGAAACAAGCUUGGUUCCAAAGGGAAUUUGUCAAGGAUUUCCUUGUUUAACGACAUUGAAUAAUGUUUCCAAUAGCAGGUUGAAAAAAAGAAGAUGACAUUUUUUUAGUUAAGGCAAUUUCUUACAUCCAUCAUUGGUGAAAUUCAAGUAUGUAGCAUUCCAGCCCGAUUCCAUCAAGAAGAUUCUAUAGGGACUUGACUACAUCCAUUCAAACUUACCGGAGUGGGAGAAGCCAAGUCAAGCUUACUCAGGAUUUUUCUGCAUGCCAACAAGCCAACUCGGAUAAAGGAUCCAUACACCUCACAAACCCGUCCCAG
This 450-nucleotide long non-coding RNA is filed under the name Equus caballus (horse). RNAcentral's name for it is "lncRNA (ENSECAG00000056465.1)". The record is from RNAcentral. Lineage: Eukaryota; Metazoa; Chordata; Mammalia; Perissodactyla; Equidae.